AUGAUUCAAUCUUUUGUCUUACAAUUUCUAAAAAAUCAAAAUAUUUAAAUCAAAUAAAAGAAAUAUUGUGAAGUAAAUUCAAGGGUUUUAAAUUUUAAAAGUAGAAAACAUA
Molecule: transfer RNA, 112 nt
Filed under: Blepharis espinosa
Lineage: Eukaryota; Viridiplantae; Streptophyta; Magnoliopsida; Lamiales; Acanthaceae
Description: partial tRNA-His
Source: RNAcentral